UACGGAGGAUCCGAGCGUUAUCCGGAUUUAUUGGGUUUAAAGGGUGCGUAGGCGGUUUGAUAAGUUAGAGGUGAAAUGUCGGGGCUCAACCCCGAAACUGCCUCUAAUACUGUUGGACUAGAGAAUAGUUGCGGUAGGCGGAAUGUAUGGUGUAGCGGUGAAAUGCUUAGAGAUCAUACAGAACACCGAUUGCGAAGGCAGCUUACCAAACUAUAUCUGACGUUGAGGCUCGAAAGCGUGGGGAGCAAACAGG
RNAcentral lists this ribosomal RNA (253 nucleotides) under uncultured bacterium. RNAcentral describes it as "partial 16S ribosomal RNA". It matches the Rfam family "Bacterial small subunit ribosomal RNA", at positions 524 to 776 of the family's 1533-position model. The record is from RNAcentral.